Molecule: small RNA, 141 nt
Filed under: Escherichia coli O103:H11 str. 04-3023
Lineage: Bacteria; Pseudomonadati; Pseudomonadota; Gammaproteobacteria; Enterobacterales; Enterobacteriaceae
Description: partial QUAD RNA
Rfam family: Short Intergenic Abundant RNA
About the family: This family contains multiple ncRNA from E. coli that were identified in a large scale screen of E. coli, were they were called candidates 43,55 and 61. These RNAs have also been identified by other groups and called QUAD RNAs.
Source: RNAcentral
UUGACAUUCUGAACGUGAAGGCAUACUUUCAGGAGUGAGGGUAGAGCGGGGUUUCCCCCGCCCUGGUAGUCUUAGUAUGCUGGGUAGCUAAUCACUAAGAGCACCACGAUGAUGAGUAUCUUCAUCAUGACCCUUUCCUUA